Ribosomal RNA from Danio rerio (zebrafish), 119 nucleotides. Lineage: Eukaryota; Metazoa; Chordata; Actinopteri; Cypriniformes; Danionidae. The record is from Ensembl.
GAAAUCAGCCAUAUCACUGGGUAGCCCAAAUCUUGUCGUCCUCCGAAGCCAAGCAGAGUUGAGAGCCUGGUCAGUACCUGGAUGGGAGACCACAUGGGAAAACCAGGUUGCUGUUGGAA